RNAcentral lists this ribosomal RNA (253 nucleotides) under uncultured bacterium. RNAcentral describes it as "partial 16S ribosomal RNA". It matches the Rfam family "Bacterial small subunit ribosomal RNA", at positions 524 to 776 of the family's 1533-position model. The record is from RNAcentral.
UACGUAGGGGGCGAGCGUUGUCCGAAUUCACUGGGCGUAAAGCGCGCGUAGGCGGACCCUUAAGUUGGUGGUGAAAUGCCGAGGCUCAACCUCGGAACUGCCUUCAAAACUGGGGGUCUUGAGGUAUGGAGAGGGAAGUGGAAUUCCUGGUGUAGCGGUGAAAUGCGUAGAUAUCAGGAGGAACACCUGUGGCGAAGGCGGCUUCCUGGCCAUAUCCUGACGCUGAGGUGCGAAAGCUAGGGGAGCGAACGGG